This 253-nucleotide ribosomal RNA is filed under the name uncultured bacterium. Its description in RNAcentral is "partial 16S ribosomal RNA". It matches the Rfam family "Bacterial small subunit ribosomal RNA", at positions 524 to 776 of the family's 1533-position model. The record is from RNAcentral.
UACGGGGGGGGCAAGCGUUGUUCGGAAUUACUGGGCGUAAAGGGUUUGUAGGUGGCCGGCUAAGUCAGACGUGAAAUCCCUCAGCUUAACUGGGGAACUGCGUCUGAAACUGAUCGGCUCGAGUGCAGGAGAGGAACGCGGAAUUCCAGGUGUAGCGGUGAAAUGCGCAGAUAUCAGGAGGAACACCGGUGGCGAAGGCGGUUCUCUGGGCAUUACCUGACGCUGAGGUGCGAAAGCGUGGGGAGCGAUCCGG